AUCGAGUGCGCACUCUGCUGUACCAAUACAGCAGGCCGGCGCACGGCGCACGGGUGCGUAACACGUGGGUAACCUGCCCUGCAAUGGGGGAUAACCCGCCGAAAGGCGGGCUAAUACCGCAUGACAUUCCGGUGGCUUCGGACGCCGGAAUCAAAGCCCGCAAGGGCGUUGGAGGAGGGGCCCGCGGCCGAUUAGCUAGUUGGUGAGGUAACGGCUCACCAAGGCUGUGAUCGGUAGCCGGUCUGAGAGGAUGGCCGGCCACACUGGAACUGAGACACGGUCCAGACUCCUACGGGAGGCAGCAGUGGGGAAUCUUGCGCAAUGGGCGAAAGCCUGACGCAGCGACGCCGCGUGGGGGAUGAAGCUUCUCGGAGUGUAAACCCCUUUCGACCCGGACGAAACGCCCGCAAGGGCUUGACGGUACGGGUAUAAGAAGCCCCGGCUAACUACGUG
Molecule: ribosomal RNA, 453 nt
Filed under: uncultured bacterium
Lineage: Bacteria
Description: bacterial SSU rRNA
Rfam family: Bacterial small subunit ribosomal RNA
Source: RNAcentral